UGGGGAAUCUUCCGCAAUGGGCGAAAGCCUGACGGAGCAACGCCGCGUGAACGAUGAAGGUCUUAGGAUCGUAAAGUUCUGUUGUUAGGGACGAAGGGUAAGAAUCAUAAUAAGGUUUUUAUUUGACGGUACCUAACGAGGAAGCCACGGCUAACUACGUGCCAGCAGCCGCGGUAAUACGUAGGCGGCAAGCGUUGUCCGGAAUUAUUGGGCGUAAAGGGAGCGCAGGCGGGAAACUAAGCGGAUCUUAAAAGUGCGGGGCUCAACCCCGUGAUGGGGUCCGAACUGGUUUUCUUGAGUGCAGGAGAGGAAAGCGGAAUUCCCAGUGUAGCGGUGAAAUGCGUAGAUAUUGGGAAGAACACCAGUGGCGAAGGCGGCUUUCUGGACUGUAACUGACGCUGAGGCUCGAAAGCUAGGGUAGCGAACGGG
This 429-nucleotide ribosomal RNA is filed under the name uncultured bacterium. Its description in RNAcentral is "bacterial SSU rRNA". It matches the Rfam family "Bacterial small subunit ribosomal RNA", at positions 355 to 776 of the family's 1533-position model. The record is from RNAcentral. RNAcentral also lists the same sequence under 1 other name.